This 446-nucleotide ribosomal RNA is filed under the name Stenotrophomonas sp. R-32735. RNAcentral describes it as "bacterial SSU rRNA". It matches the Rfam family "Bacterial small subunit ribosomal RNA", at positions 20 to 462 of the family's 1533-position model. Lineage: Bacteria; Pseudomonadati; Pseudomonadota; Gammaproteobacteria; Lysobacterales; Lysobacteraceae. The record is from RNAcentral.
UGGCUCAGAGUGAACGCUGGCGGUAGGCCUAACACAUGCAAGUCGAACGGCAGCACAGAGGAGCUUGCUCCUUGGGUGGCGAGUGGCGGACGGGUGAGGAAUACAUCGGAAUCUACUUUUUCGUGGGGGAUAACGUAGGGAAACUUACGCUAAUACCGCAUACGACCUACGGGUGAAAGCAGGGGACCUUCGGGCCUUGCGCGAUUGAAUGAGCCGAUGUCGGAUUAGCUAGUUGGCGGGGUAAAGGCCCACCAAGGCGACGAUCCGUAGCUGGUCUGAGAGGAUGAUCAGCCACACUGGAACUGAGACACGGUCCAGACUCCUACGGGAGGCAGCAGUGGGGAAUAUUGGACAAUGGGCGCAAGCCUGAUCCAGCCAUACCGCGUGGGUGAAGAAGGCCUUCGGGUUGUAAAGCCCUUUUGUUGGGAAAGAAAUCCAGCCGGCUA